This 253-nucleotide ribosomal RNA is filed under the name uncultured bacterium. RNAcentral describes it as "partial 16S ribosomal RNA". It matches the Rfam family "Bacterial small subunit ribosomal RNA", at positions 524 to 776 of the family's 1533-position model. The record is from RNAcentral.
UACGGAGGGUGCAAGCGUUAAUCGGAAUUACUGGGCGUAAAGCGCGCGUAGGCGGCUUGGUAAGUUGGAUGUGAAAGCCCCGGGCUCAACCUUGGACGUGCUUCAGAUACUGGUUUGCUAGAGUACGAUAGAGGAGUGUGGAAUUUCCUGUGUAGCGGUGAAAUGCGUAGAUAUAGGAAGGAACAUCAGUGGCGAAGGCGACACUCUGGAUUGAUACUGACACUGAGGUGCGAAAGCGUGGGUAGCAAACAGG